This 2899-nucleotide ribosomal RNA is filed under the name Shigella dysenteriae 225-75. Its description in RNAcentral is "bacterial LSU rRNA". It matches the Rfam family "Bacterial large subunit ribosomal RNA". Lineage: Bacteria; Pseudomonadati; Pseudomonadota; Gammaproteobacteria; Enterobacterales; Enterobacteriaceae. The record is from RNAcentral.
UAAGCGACUAAGCGUACACGGUGGAUGCCCUGGCAGUCAGAGGCGAUGAAGGACGUGCUAAUCUGCGAUAAGCGUCGGUAAGGUGAUAUGAACCGUUAUAACCGGCGAUUUCCGAAUGGGGAAACCCAGUGUGAUUCGUCACACUAUCAUUAACUGAAUCCAUAGGUUAAUGAGGCGAACCGGGGGAACUGAAACAUCUAAGUACCCCGAGGAAAAGAAAUCAACCGAGAUUCCCCCAGUAGCGGCGAGCGAACGGGGAGCAGCCCAGAGCCUGAAUCAGUGUGUGUGUUAGUGGAAGCGUCUGGAAAGGCGUGCGAUACAGGGUGACAGCCCCGUACACAAAAAUGCACAUAUUGUGAGCUCGAUGAGUAGGGCGGGACACGUGGUAUCCUGUCUGAAUAUGGGGGGACCAUCCUCCAAGGCUAAAUACUCCUGACUGACCGAUAGUGAACCAGUACCGUGAGGGAAAGGCGAAAAGAACCCCGGCGAGGGGAGUGAAAAAGAACCUGAAACCGUGUACGUACAAGCAGUGGGAGCACGCUUAGGCGUGUGACUGCGUACCUUUUGUAUAAUGGGUCAGCGACUUAUAUUCUGUAGCAAGGUUAACCGAAUAGGGGAGCCGAAGGGAAACCGAGUCUUAACUGGGCGUUAAGUUGCAGGGUAUAGACCCGAAACCCGGUGAUCUAGCCAUGGGCAGGUUGAAGGUUGGGUAACACUAACUGGAGGACCGAACCGACUAAUGUUGAAAAAUUAGCGGAUGACUUGUGGCUGGGGGUGAAAGGCCAAUCAAACCGGGAGAUAGCUGGUUCUCCCCGAAAGCUAUUUAGGUAGCGCCUCGUGAAUUCAUCUCCGGGGGUAGAGCACUGUUUCGGCAAGGGGGUCAUCCCGACUUACCAACCCGAUGCAAACUGCGAAUACCGGAGAAUGUUAUCACGGGAGACACACGGCGGGUGCUAACGUCCGUCGUGAAGAGGGAAACAACCCAGACCGCCAGCUAAGGUCCCAAAGUCAUGGUUAAGUGGGAAACGAUGUGGGAAGGCCCAGACAGCCAGGAUGUUGGCUUAGAAGCAGCCAUCAUUUAAAGAAAGCGUAAUAGCUCACUGGUCGAGUCGGCCUGCGCGGAAGAUGUAACGGGGCUAAACCAUGCACCGAAGCUGCGGCAGCGACACUAUGUGUUGUUGGGUAGGGGAGCGUUCUGUAAGCCUGUGAAGGUGUACUGUGAGGUAUGCUGGAGGUAUCAGAAGUGCGAAUGCUGACAUAAGUAACGAUAAAGCGGGUGAAAAGCCCGCUCGCCGGAAGACCAAGGGUUCCUGUCCAACGUUAAUCGGGGCAGGGUGAGUCGACUCCUAAGGCGAGGCCGAAAGGCGUAGUCGAUGGGAAACAGGUUAAUAUUCCUGUACUUGGUGUUACUGCGAAGGGGGGACGGAGAAGGCUAUGUUGGCCGGGCGACGGUUGUCCCGGUUUAAGCGUGUAGGCUGGUUUUCCAGGCAAAUCCGGAAAACUAAGGCUGAGGCGUGAUGACGAGGCACUACGGUGCUGAAGCAACAAAUGCCCUGCUUCCAGGAAAAGCCUCUAAGCAUCAGGUAACAUCAAAUCGUACCCCAAACCGACACAGGUGGUCAGGUAGAGAAUACCAAGGCGCUUGAGAGAACUCGGGUGAAGGAACUAGGCAAAAUGGUGCCGUAACUUCGGGAGAAGGCACGCUGAUAUGUAGGUGAAGUCCCUCGCGGAUGGAGCUGAAAUCAGUCGAAGAUACCAGCUGGCUGCAACUGUUUAUUAAAAACACAGCACUGUGCAAACACGAAAGUGGACGUAUACGGUGUGACGCCUGCCCGGUGCCGGAAGGUUAAUUGAUGGGGUCAGCGCAAGCGAAGCUCUUGAUCGAAGCCCCGGUAAACGGCGGCCGUAACUAUAACGGUCCUAAGGUAGCGAAAUUCCUUGUCGGGUAAGUUCCGACCUGCACGAAUGGCGUAAUGAUGGCCAGGCUGUCUCCACCCGAGACUCAGUGAAAUUGAACUCGCUGUGAAGAUGCAGUGUACCCGCGGCAAGACGGAAAGACCCCGUGAACCUUUACUAUAGCUUGACACUGAACAUUGAGCCUUGAUGUGUAGGAUAGGUGGGAGGCUUUGAAGUGUGGACGCCAGUCUGCAUGGAGCCGACCUUGAAAUACCACCCUUUAAUGUUUGAUGUUCUAACGUUGACCCGUAAUCCGGGUUGCGGACAGUGUCUGGUGGGUAGUUUGACUGGGGCGGUCUCCUCCUAAAGAGUAACGGAGGAGCACGAAGGUUGGCUAAUCCUGGUCGGACAUCAGGAGGUUAGUGCAAUGGCAUAAGCCAGCUUGACUGCGAGCGUGACGGCGCGAGCAGGUGCGAAAGCAGGUCAUAGUGAUCCGGUGGUUCUGAAUGGAAGGGCCAUCGCUCAACGGAUAAAAGGUACUCCGGGGAUAACAGGCUGAUACCGCCCAAGAGUUCAUAUCGACGGCGGUGUUUGGCACCUCGAUGUCGGCUCAUCACAUCCUGGGGCUGAAGUAGGUCCCAAGGGUAUGGCUGUUCGCCAUUUAAAGUGGUACGCGAGCUGGGUUUAGAACGUCGUGAGACAGUUCGGUCCCUAUCUGCCGUGGGCGCUGGAGAACUGAGGGGGGCUGCUCCUAGUACGAGAGGACCGGAGUGGACGCAUCACUGGUGUUCGGGUUGUCAUGCCAAUGGCACUGCCCGGUAGCUAAAUGCGGAAGAGAUAAGUGCUGAAAGCAUCUAAGCACGAAACUUGCCCCGAGAUGAGUUCUCCCUGACUCCUUGAGAGUCCUGAAGGAACGUUGAAGACGACGACGUUGAUAGGUCGGGUGUGUAAGCGCAGCGAUGCGUUGAGCUAACCGGUACUAAUGAACCGUGAGGCUUAACCU